GAGAGGGAUCAGCACCUGGCUGAGCACGCCCAGCUCUACGAGAGCAGCAUGGGAAUCUGCGCAAGGGCGAAAGCUGCGCAGCACGCCCGUGUGGACGACGGCCUCGGGUUGUAACCACUUUCAGCGAGACGAAAAUGACGUACCUGCAGAAGAAGCCCCGGCCAACUACGUGCCAGCAGCCGCGGUAACACGUAGGGGGCGAGCGUUGUCCGGAAUUACUGGGCGUAAAGGGCUCGUAGGCGGUUUGGUAAGUCAGAUGUGAAAACUCCAGGCUCAACUUGGAGACGCCAUCUGAUACUGCCAUGACUAGAGUUUGGUAGAGGAGGGCAGAAUUCCCGGUGUAGCGGGGAAAUGCGCAGAUAUCAGGGAGGAAUACCAGUCAGGCGAAGGGCGGCACUCUGGGGCCGACAACUGGACGCGUGAGGGAGCGGAAAGGCGUGAGGGAGCGGAACAGG
Molecule: ribosomal RNA, 455 nt
Filed under: uncultured bacterium
Lineage: Bacteria
Description: bacterial SSU rRNA
Rfam family: Bacterial small subunit ribosomal RNA
Source: RNAcentral